This 428-nucleotide ribosomal RNA is filed under the name Mucrometopia caudata. RNAcentral describes it as "partial large subunit ribosomal RNA". The record is from RNAcentral. Lineage: Eukaryota; Metazoa; Arthropoda; Insecta; Hemiptera; Cicadellidae.
AAAUCCUGCCCUAUGAUUAAUUAAAUGGCUGCAGUAUUCUGACUGUGCAAAGGUAGCAUAAUAAUUAGUCUUUUAAUUGAAGGCUUGUAUGAAUGGUUAUAUGAGGGAUUUAUUUUAUUAUUAAUAGUUUUAUAAUUUGGUUAUUUAAGUUAAAAAGCUCAAUAGCUUAUUUGGGACGAUAAGACCCUAUAGAACUUUAUUUUUUAAGUAUAUUAGUUAUAUUUGGUAUUUAUAAGAUUAUAUUAUUUAUUUAAAAUUUUUUGUUGGGGAGAUAAAUAAAUAUUAACUUUAUUUUAUUAUUUCAUAAGUUUAUGUGAUUUUGAUCCAUUAUUUAAUGAUUAUAAGAUUAAGUUACCUUAGGGAUAACAGCGUAAUUUUUAUGAGGAGUCCAUAUCUAUAUAAAAGUUUGCGACCUCGAUGUUGAAUUA